RNAcentral lists this ribosomal RNA (400 nucleotides) under uncultured Bacteroidota bacterium. Its description in RNAcentral is "uncultured Bacteroidetes bacterium partial 16S ribosomal RNA". It matches the Rfam family "Bacterial small subunit ribosomal RNA", at positions 515 to 916 of the family's 1533-position model. The record is from RNAcentral. Lineage: Bacteria; Pseudomonadati; Bacteroidota.
CCCCGGUUAAUACGGGGGAUGCAAGCGUUAUCCGNAUUUAUUGGNUUUAAAGGNUGCGUAGNNGNUCUGUCAANUCGCCGGUGAAAACACCAUGCUAAACAUGGUGCUUGCCNUCNAGACUGNUGGGCUUGAAUGUGGAUNAUNCCGGCGGAAUGUGUAAAGUAGCGGUGAAAUGCAUAGAUAUUACACAGAAGGUCGAUUGCGAAAGCAGCUGGCAAAGGCACUAUUGACGCUGAGGCACGAAAGUGCGGGGAUCGAACAGGAUUAGAUACCCUGGUAGUCCGCACAGUAAACGAUGAUAACUAACUGUCGGCGAUACACAGUCGGUGGUAAAGAGAAAUCGAUAAGUUAUCCACCUGGGGAGUACGACCGCAAGGUUGAAACUCAAAGGAAUUGACGG